UUACGGCCAUAUCAGGUUGAAACACCGGAUCCCAUACGGUCAUCGAAGUUAAGCAAAAUCAAGCCUGGUUAGUACAUGAAUAUGCGACCGCAUGGGAAUACCAAGUGCU
Non-coding RNA from Acanthosepion pharaonis, 109 nucleotides. Lineage: Eukaryota; Metazoa; Mollusca; Cephalopoda; Sepiida; Sepiidae. The record is from the annotation of a GenBank genome assembly.